GCCCUCGUAGCUCAGCAGGAUAGAGCGUUGGUUUCCUAAACCAAAGGUCGUGGGUUCGAAUCCCGCCGGGGGUA
RNAcentral lists this transfer RNA (74 nucleotides) under Thalassoglobus neptunius. It matches the Rfam family "tRNA". Rfam says of the family: Transfer RNA (tRNA) molecules are approximately 80 nucleotides in length. Their secondary structure includes four short double-helical elements and three loops (D, anti-codon, and T loops). RNAcentral also lists the same sequence under 2 other names. The record is from Rfam by way of RNAcentral. Lineage: Bacteria; Pseudomonadati; Planctomycetota; Planctomycetia; Planctomycetales; Planctomycetaceae.